This 267-nucleotide ribosomal RNA is filed under the name uncultured bacterium. Its description in RNAcentral is "partial 16S ribosomal RNA". It matches the Rfam family "Bacterial small subunit ribosomal RNA", at positions 28 to 293 of the family's 1533-position model. The record is from RNAcentral.
GACGAACGCUGGCGGCGUGCUUAACACAUGCAAGUCGAGCGGUAAGGCCCUUUCGGGGGUACACGAGCGGCGAACGGGUGAGUAACACGUGGGUGACCUGCCCUCAGCUCUGGGAGUAAGCCUGGGAAACCGGGGUCGUAAUACCGGAUAUGACUCCAUGACGCAUGUUGUGGGGUGGAAAGCCUUGUGCGGCUGAGGAUGGGCCCGCGGCCUAUCAGCUUGUUGGUGGGGUGAUGGCCUACCAAGGCGACGACGGGUAGCCGGCCU